Molecule: ribosomal RNA, 168 nt
Filed under: Drosophila nannoptera
Lineage: Eukaryota; Metazoa; Arthropoda; Insecta; Diptera; Drosophilidae
Description: partial 16S ribosomal RNA
Source: RNAcentral
UUAGAUUAUAUUUAUUAAUUUUUUUUAUUUAAAUUUCAAAUUUUAAAAAUAAUUAUAUAAUAAAAAGUUUUAGUAUUGUUUAAAGAAAAAAUAAUUUUAAUAAUAGUUUAAUAGUAUUGUAAAAGAAAAUUGAAAUAAUUUGAAAAAUUUUUAUUUUAAAAGAAAAUU